GGGGGAUGUAGGGAUUCAUCUUUGUCACAUUUUCUCUCUAAUUUAGCUGUCUAGGGAGCCUCCCUUGUUUUGCAGAAGUGGAAACAUCCAGUUUAAUUUCAUCUUUUCUCAGACUGCAGUAGCUUGCUUCCUCAGAAGCCAGGGUCUCUCUCCAUUUAUUCUUAGUGUUUAUCCCUUUAAUUCUCCUACAGUUUCACAAGUGCUUCUGGUAUAUUUUGUAAUUUUAGCUUAUAAUCACAUUUUUCGAAGAGGCACCAUCUGGUUCCUGACAUGGCUUAAAAUAACAAUCUAACUAACACGAACCCUGCAGCAAUGCUUUGCGCCCUUCCCAACCCAGUGUGAGAGUGUCCCCACCUAUAUUUCUUCACAAAUGCUCCACUGUUAGGUUCCAUCCCUUCCGAUAGAUCUCACAGAAAGCGGGGCCUUUUACCUCUUUCAUCUCGAACCCAGUCGUUUCAGGCAGUCAAAAUGGAUGCGUUAAAAAAAAAAAAAAAAAACCUUGCAGCUAGGACAGCAGAGGAUCUGCUGUGAACUGCUCAGUCAGAGACUUGGAGCUGGAGCUCACGUCUGUAUUUCAGCUGCCCUCUGGUGCUUAGCACUGCAGCAGUACACGCCAUCAUCAUGGCCCCAGUGCUUGGAGGUCCCUGCGACGGAGCAGCGGAAACCAAGCACAGCAAAAAUUCCUUUGAAGACAGAAAAGUGGCCCAGUGCUGUGCAGCAGGGCUACGGUGCUGGAAUCCAGCCCGGCCCAGUGCCGGCGUUGGCAGCGGCCUUCCCAUUAUAUCAGGAAGGGCUGUAUCCCGUCGCCACCAUGCCCCAACCCCCCCGGCUCGCCUCAGCUGUCUGCGGGACGUGGAGCCAGGCAGAGGGUGCCCUGCAAGAAGCAGAGCUGUUGGUUUGAGGUGCGGAAAGCCGGCCAGUCUGGAUGCGACUGCUGCUGCGUGGCGGACAGGAUUUGACAUGCCUUGCAGAGUGGCUGUGAAUAUGGUUAUCCUUAAUUUACGGAUGAGUGAUCCUGGACGAUACAAUUUGUUGGAGAUCAUAGAAAAAAAAUUAAGAGGGGAACACCACGUCUGCUGCCACCCAUGAUGUGUUCUCUUUGACUUUCCAAAUAACCUUUUUUACAGCCACCCAUUUAGUGGCUGUGAAGGAGGGUCGAUACGGAGGGGCUAGGAAAGUGCUGCUCCCACUGCAGGCUGCAAGCAGCACACACAUAUCUGGCAUAGAAUUUCAACCCUAUUGCUGUCUUUUUGCUGACAGCGCAGUAACGAGCUGAAACAACACCACGCUAUUCCCAAAGCUGCAUGGACAUUACUAAUGCCAAUGAAUAAGUAAAGCUUAUCUGUUAUGACAUGAAAUACUUGUAUAUUAUGCACAGACUUGUGUAUAAUGCAAGAUCUGAG
RNAcentral lists this long non-coding RNA (1403 nucleotides) under Phasianus colchicus (ring-necked pheasant). RNAcentral's name for it is "lncRNA (ENSPCLG00000004443.1)". Lineage: Eukaryota; Metazoa; Chordata; Aves; Galliformes; Phasianidae. The record is from RNAcentral.